AUGGCCGGCGGCCCGUUAGCGCGAGCAAAGCCACGGCCACAGCAGUACGACGAUGACCAGCAGCUCGACGACCGGCAGUUCGACGAGCUGUGUCAGCAAUACGCGCCCUCGCAUCUUCGCCCGUGGGCGGCCGCCGCGCCGGCCAUCGCUCAGAAGACGAUCCUCGAGAUCCGUUUCGACAAGGGCUACCAGGAGUUCUCGGACGGCACCAGCUACAACGGCGUCGGGGUGGACGACGCGACAAAGACCGCAAGUGGCGCUGAGACGAGGAUGAGUCGUCGGAUGAGGAACAAGCUGGCCCGUGCUGCUGUCUAA
This 315-nucleotide ribosomal RNA is filed under the name Triticum aestivum (bread wheat). RNAcentral describes it as "partial small subunit ribosomal RNA". Lineage: Eukaryota; Viridiplantae; Streptophyta; Magnoliopsida; Poales; Poaceae. The record is from RNAcentral.